UAAUACGAAGGGGGCUAGCGUUGCUCGGAAUUACUGGGCGUAAAGGGAGCGUAGGCGGAUCGUUAAGUUAGAGGUGAAAGCCCAGGGCUCAACCCUGGAAUUGCCUUUGAUACUGGCGAUCUUGAGUAUGGGAGAGGUAAGCGGAACUCCGAGUGUAGAGGUGAAAUUCGUAGAUAUUCGGAAGAACACCAGUGGCGAAGGCGGCUUACUGGCCCAUUACUGACGCUGAGGCUCGAAAGCGUGGGGAGCAAACAGGAUUAGAUACCCUGGUAGUCCACGCUGUAAACGAUGAGAGCUAGUUGUCGGCACGCAUGCGUGUCGGUGACGCAGCUAACGCAUUAAGCUCUCCGCCUGGGGAGUACGGUCGCAAGAUUA
This 375-nucleotide ribosomal RNA is filed under the name uncultured bacterium. RNAcentral's name for it is "bacterial SSU rRNA". It matches the Rfam family "Bacterial small subunit ribosomal RNA", at positions 521 to 896 of the family's 1533-position model. The record is from RNAcentral.